UACGAAGGGGGCUAGCGUUGCUCGGAAUCACUGGGCGUAAAGGGUGCGUAGGCGGGUUUUUAAGUCAGGGGUGAAAUCCUGGAGCUCAACUCCAGAACUGCCUUUGAUACUGGGGAUCUCGAGUCCGGAAGAGGUGAGUGGAACUGCGAGUGUAGAGGUGAAAUUCGUAGAUAUUCGCAAGAACACCAGUGGCGAAGGCGGCUCACUGGUCCGGUACUGACGCUGAGGUGCGAAAGCGUGGGGAGCAAACAGG
RNAcentral lists this ribosomal RNA (253 nucleotides) under uncultured bacterium. RNAcentral's name for it is "partial 16S ribosomal RNA". It matches the Rfam family "Bacterial small subunit ribosomal RNA", at positions 524 to 776 of the family's 1533-position model. The record is from RNAcentral.